GGACCCUACUGCUAUCGGGGUGGGACUAAAACAUGCUAGUCGAGCGUCUCCAAGCCAUGGUGGAGGCGCGGCGUACAGCUCAGUAACACGUGGCUAACCUACCCUUGGGACGGGAACACCCCCGGGAAACUGGGGUUAAUUCCCGAUGGGUGAGGAGGCCUGGAAUGGUUCCUCACUGAAAGGGCGUUAGAGGCAUGCUCUCUAACGUUGCCCAAGGAUGGGGUCGCGGCCGAUCAGGUUGUUGGUGAGGUAACGGCUUACCAAGCCUAUAACCGGUACGGGCCGUGAGAGCGGAAGCCCGGAGAUGGGCACUGAGAUAAGGGCCCAGGCCCUACGGGGCGCAGCAGUUGCGAAAACUCCGCAAUGCACGAAAGUGUGACGGGGCUACCCCGAGUGCCGUCCGCUGAGGAUGGCUUUUCUCCGCUGUAAGGAGGCGGAGGAAUAAGGAGAGGGCAAGACUGGUGUCAGCCGCCGCGGUAAUACCAGCUCUCCGAGUGGUAGGGGUGAUUAUUGGGCUUAAAGCGUCCGUAGCCGGCCUGGCAAGUCUUCCGUUAAAUCCAGCAACCUAAUUGUUGGGCUGCGGGGGAUACUGUUAGGCUAGGGGGCGGGAGAGGCCGACGGUAUUCUCGGGGUAGGGGUGAAAUCUUAUAAUCCCGGGAGGACCACCAGUGGCGAAGGCUGUCGGCUAGCACGCGCCUGACGGUGAGGGACGAAAGCUGGGGGAGCGAACCGGAUUAGAUACCCGGGUAGUCCCUGCUGUAAACGAUGCAGGCUAGGUGUUGGCGCGGCUACGUGCCGCUCCAGUGCCGCAGGGAAGCCGUUAAGCCUGCCGCCUGGGAAGUACGGCCGCAAGGCUGAAACUUAA
RNAcentral lists this ribosomal RNA (865 nucleotides) under uncultured archaeon. RNAcentral describes it as "bacterial SSU rRNA". It matches the Rfam family "Archaeal small subunit ribosomal RNA", at positions 19 to 859 of the family's 1478-position model. The record is from RNAcentral.